AUGAACGCUGGCGGCGUGCCUAAUACAUGCAAGUCGAGCGAACAGAUGAGGAGCUUGCUCCUCUGACGUUAGCGGCGGACGGGUGAGUAACACGUGGAUAACCUACCUAUAAGACUGGGAUAACUUCGGGAAACCGGAGCUAAUACCGGAUAAUAUAUUGAACCGCAUGGUUCAAUAGUGAAAGACGGUUUUGCUGUCACUUAUAGAUGGAUCCGCGCCGCAUUAGCUAGUUGGUAAGGUAACGGCUUACCAAGGCAACGAUGCGUAGCCGACCUGAGAGGGUGAUCGGCCACACUGGAACUGAGACACGGUCCAGACUCCUACGGGAGGCAGCAGUAGGGAAUCUUCCGCAAUGGGCGAAAGCCUGACGGAGCAACGCCGCGUGAGUGAUGAAGGUCUUCGGAUCGUAAAACUCUGUUAUUAGGGAAGAACAAAUGUGUAAGUAACUAUGCACGUCUUGACGGUACAUAAUCAGAAAGCCACGGCUAACUACGUG
Molecule: ribosomal RNA, 496 nt
Filed under: uncultured bacterium
Lineage: Bacteria
Description: partial 16S ribosomal RNA
Rfam family: Bacterial small subunit ribosomal RNA
Source: RNAcentral